Molecule: ribosomal RNA, 849 nt
Filed under: uncultured Bacillota bacterium
Lineage: Bacteria; Bacillati; Bacillota
Description: bacterial SSU rRNA
Rfam family: Bacterial small subunit ribosomal RNA
Source: RNAcentral
AAAGUCCCCUUCGGGGGGCAAGUAGAGUGGCGCACGGGUGAGUAACACGUAGGUAAUCUACCUUUGGAUGGGGAAUAACAACCGGAAACGGUUGCUAAUACCGCAUAAUGCAGCGGCACCUAAUGGUGACAGUUGUUAAAGCGGGGGAUCGAAAGACCUCGCGUCUAAAGAGGAGCCUGCGGCGGAUUAGCUAGUUGGUAAGGUAACGGCUUACCAAGGCGACGAUCCGUAGCCGGCCUGAGAGGGCGGUCGGCCACACUGACACUGACAUACGGGUCAGACUCCUACGGGAGGCAGCAGUCGGGAAUUUUGGGCAAUGGGCGAAAGCCUGACCCAGCAACGCCGCGUGAAGGAUGAAAUCCCUCGGGAUGUAAACUUCGCAAGAACGGGAAGAAUAAGUAGGGGACAAUACCCCCUAUGAUGACGGUACCGUUUGUAAGCUCCGGCUAACUCCGUGCCAGCAGCCGCGGUAAUACGGGGGGAGCAAGCGUUGUUCGGAUUUACUGGGCGUAAAGGGCGCGUAGGCGGCCAGCACAAGUCAGUUGUGAAAUCUCCGAGCUUAACUCGGAAAGGUCAACUGAUACUGUGCGGCUAGAGUGCGGAAGGGGCAACUGGAAUUCUUGGUGUAGCGGUGAAAUGCGUAGAUAUCAAGAGGAACACCUGCGGCGAAGGCGGGUUGCUGGGCCGACACUGACGCUGAAGUGCGAAAGCCAGGGGAGCGAACGGGAUUAGAUACCCCGGUAGUCCUGGCCUUAAACGAUGAAUGCUUGGUGUCUGGGGUUAUAAAGUCCCCGGGUGCCGUCGCUAACGCUUUAAGCAUUCCGCCUGGGGAGUACGGUCGCAAGACUG